RNAcentral lists this ribosomal RNA (585 nucleotides) under Microbacterium sp. RNAcentral describes it as "bacterial SSU rRNA". It matches the Rfam family "Bacterial small subunit ribosomal RNA", at positions 225 to 822 of the family's 1533-position model. The record is from RNAcentral. Lineage: Bacteria; Bacillati; Actinomycetota; Actinomycetes; Micrococcales; Microbacteriaceae.
AUGGGCUCGCGGCCUAUCAGCUUGUUGGUGAGGUAAUGGCUCACCAAGGCGUCGACGGGUAGCCGGCCUGAGAGGGUGACCGGCCACACUGGGACUGAGACACGGCCCAGACUCCUACGGGAGGCAGCAGUGGGGAAUAUUGCACAAUGGGCGGAAGCCUGAUGCAGCAACGCCGCGUGAGGGAUGACGGCCUUCGGGUUGUAAACCUCUUUUAGCAGGGAAGAAGCGAGAGUGACGGUACCUGCAGAAAAAGCGCCGGCUAACUACGUGCCAGCAGCCGCGGUAAUACGUAGGGCGCAAGCGUUAUCCGGAAUUAUUGGGCGUAAAGAGCUCGUAGGCGGUUUGUCGCGUCUGCUGUGAAAUCCCGAGGCUCAACCUCGGGCCUGCAGUGGGUACGGGCAGACUAGAGUGCGGUAGGGGAGAUUGGAAUUCCUGGUGUAGCGGUGGAAUGCGCAGAUAUCAGGAGGAACACCGAUGGCGAAGGCAGAUCUCUGGGCCGUAACUGACGCUGAGGAGCGAAAGGGUGGGGAGCAAACAGGCUUAGAUACCCUGGUAGUCCACCCCGUAAACGUUGGGAACUAGUUG